This 374-nucleotide unclassified non-coding RNA is filed under the name soil metagenome. RNAcentral describes it as "partial contains internal transcribed spacer 2 and large subunit ribosomal RNA". The stretch from base 1 to 120 matches the Rfam family "5.8S ribosomal RNA", at positions 35 to 154 of the family's 154-position model. The record is from RNAcentral.
GAUGAAGAACGUAGCGAAAUGCGAUAAUUAAUGUGAAUUGCAGAAUUCCGUGAAUCAUCGAGUCUUUGAACGCACAUUGCGCCUCAUGGCAUUCCGUGAGGCAUGCCCAUCUCAGCGUUAGAAAAUAUUCUCAAAUUUUAGUUUUGUGCUAAAAUUUGGAUCAUGUCAAGGAAGCUAUUACUAUUAUUGUGAUCGCUCUUUGGAAAUUGAUAGGUCUUUGAGUUGCUACUCAUAGAACGUGAUGAAUCUUUCUCCGUUCUAUUGUAAUUCACUCUGGUAGUCCUAAAACUUGUAUGCCUGUGGCAUAUCUUGUAAUUUGACCUGAGAUUGGGUAGGGAUACCCGCUGAACUUAAGCAUAUCAAUAAGCGGAGGA